Molecule: ribosomal RNA, 506 nt
Filed under: uncultured bacterium
Lineage: Bacteria
Description: partial 16S ribosomal RNA
Rfam family: Bacterial small subunit ribosomal RNA
Source: RNAcentral
GAUGAACGCUAGCUACAGGCUUAACACAUGCAAGUCGAGGGGUAACAAGAGAAAAGCUUGCUUUUCUUGUUGACGACCGGCGCACGGGUGAGUAACGCGUAUCCAACCUGCCCAUAACUAGGGAAUAACCUUGCGAAAGUAAGACUAAUACCCUAUAAUUUCCUUUGACGGCAUCUGACGAGGAAUAAAGAUUUAUCGGUUAUGGAUGGGGAUGCGUCUGAUUAGCUUGUUGGCGGGGUAACGGCCCACCAAGGCAACGAUCAGUAGGGGUUCUGAGGGGAAGGGCCCCCACAUUGGAACUGAGACACGGUCCAAACUCCUACGGGAGGCAGCAGUGAGGAAUAUUGGUCAAUGGGCGGAAGCCUGAACCAGCCAAGUAGCGUGCAGGAUGACGGCCCUAUGGGUUGUAAACUGCUUUUAUACAGGAGUAAAGUUAGCCACGUGUGGUUAUUUGUAGGUACUGUAUGAAUAAGGACCGGCUAAUUCCGUGCCAGCCGCCGCAGUAA